AGCUCCAGAAGCGUAUAUUAAAGUUGUUGCAGUUAAAAAGCUCGUAGUUGGAUCUGGGUUGCAUGGCCGCACGCCGUGGUUAGUCUCUUGCAUCUUACUGGUGUGGAGGCUGCCUGGUGUCGUGGUUGUGCGAUCUUUCUGCCGUAUCUGUUAAUUCAGGUGCUAGUUGAUUUUCAGCUGGCAUGCUCUCUGAUGCCUUUAAUUGGGUGUCUGGGGCAGACGGCACGUUUACUUUGAACAAAUUUGAGUGCUCAAAGCAGGCCGUAGUGCCUGAAAAGUCUUGCAUGGAAUAAUGGAAUAGGACUUCGGUUCUAUUUUGUUGGUUUUCGGAUCCGAAGUAAUGGUUAAGAGGGACAAACGGGGGCAUUUGUAUGGCGGCGUUAGAGGUGAAAUUCUUGGAUCGUCGCCAGACAAACUACAGCGAAAGCAUUUGCCAAGGAUGUUUUCA
Molecule: ribosomal RNA, 448 nt
Filed under: marine Metazoa environmental sample
Lineage: Eukaryota; Metazoa
Description: SSU rRNA
Rfam family: Eukaryotic small subunit ribosomal RNA
Source: RNAcentral